RNAcentral lists this ribosomal RNA (380 nucleotides) under uncultured bacterium. Its description in RNAcentral is "bacterial SSU rRNA". It matches the Rfam family "Bacterial small subunit ribosomal RNA", at positions 28 to 412 of the family's 1533-position model. The record is from RNAcentral.
GACGAACGCUGGCGGCGUGCUUAACACAUGCAAGUCGAGCGGUAAGGCCCUUUUGGGGGUACACGAGCGGCGAACGGGUGAGUAACACGUGGGUGACCUGCCCUCAGCUCUGGGAUAAGCCUGGGAAACUGGGUCUAAUACUGGAUAUGACCUUUCCUCGCAUGGGGUUGGGUGGAAAGUUUUUCGGCUGGGGAUGGGCCCGCGGCCUAUCAGCUUGUCGGUGGGGUGAUGGCCUACCAAGGCGACGACGGGUAGCCGGCCUGAGAGGGCGACCGGCCACACUGGGACUGAGACACGGCCCAGACUCCUACGGGAGGCAGCAGUGGGGAAUAUUGCGCAAUGGGCGGAAGCCUGACGCAGCGACGCCGCGUGGGGAUGAC